RNAcentral lists this ribosomal RNA (461 nucleotides) under uncultured bacterium. Its description in RNAcentral is "bacterial SSU rRNA". It matches the Rfam family "Bacterial small subunit ribosomal RNA", at positions 335 to 788 of the family's 1533-position model. The record is from RNAcentral.
ACUCCUACGGGAGGCAGCAGUAGGGAAUUUUCCGCAAUGGACGAAAGUCUGACGGAGCAAUGCCGCGUGAGUGAUGAAGGUUUUCGAAUCGUAAAGCUCUGUUGUAAGGGAAGAAUAGCAAGAAUAGGAAAUGAUUCUUGUCUGACGGUACCUUACCAGAAAGCCACGGCUAACUACGUGCCAGCAGCCGCGGUAAUACGUAGGUGGCAAGCGUUAUCCGGAAUUAUUGGGCGUAAAGAGCUCGUAGGCGGUUUGUCACGUCUGCUGUGAAAAUCCAAGGCUCAACCUUGGACUUGCAGUGGGUACGGGCAGGCUAGAGUGCGGUAGGGGAGAUGGGAAUUCCUGGUGUAGCGGUGGAAUGCGCAGAUAUCAGGAGGAACACCAAUGGCGAAGGCACAUCUCUGGGCCGUAAUUGACGCUGAGGAGCGAAAGCGUGGGGAGCAAACAGGAUUAGAUACCCU